This 464-nucleotide ribosomal RNA is filed under the name uncultured bacterium. RNAcentral's name for it is "partial 16S ribosomal RNA". It matches the Rfam family "Bacterial small subunit ribosomal RNA", at positions 339 to 795 of the family's 1533-position model. The record is from RNAcentral.
CUACGGGCGGCUGCAGUGAGGAAUUUUGCGCAAUGGGGGAAACCCUGACGCAGCAACGCCGCGUGAGUGAAGAAGGCCUUUGGGUCGUAAAGCUCUGUCAACUGGGAAGAAGUUAGAAUCUAUUAAUAGUAGGUUUUAUUGACGGUACCAGUGGAGGAAGCGCCGGCUAACUCCGUGCCAGCAGCCGCGGUAACACGGGGGGCGCAAGCGUUAUUCGGAAUUAUUGGGCGUAAAGGGCGCGCAGGCGGUCUUGUCAGUCAGGUGUGAAAGCCCGGGGCUCAACCCUGGAAGUGCACUUGAACAGCAAGACUUGAGUACGGGAGAGGAGAGAGGAAUUCCUGGUGUAGAGGUGAAAUUCGUAGAUAUCAGGAGGAACACCGAUGGCGAAGGCAUCUCUCUGGACCGAUACUGACGCUGAGGCGCGAAGGCGUGGGUAGCGAACGGGAUUAGAUACCCGCGUAGUC